Molecule: ribosomal RNA, 370 nt
Filed under: uncultured bacterium
Lineage: Bacteria
Description: bacterial SSU rRNA
Rfam family: Bacterial small subunit ribosomal RNA
Source: RNAcentral
AGCGAACGCUAGCGGCGGGCUUAACACAUGCAAGUCGAGCGGAGGGGCAACCCUCAGCGGCGAACGGGUGAGUAACACGUAGGUAAUGUACCCUCUGGUGGGGAAUAACCGUGGGAAACCAUGGCUAAUACCGCAUAUGUCUUUCGAGAUGAAAGCAGCAAUGCGCCAGAGGAGCAGCCUGCGGCCGAUUAUUUAGUCCUAGUUGGUGAGGUAAUGGCUCACCAAGGGUACGAUCGGUAGCUGGUCUGAGAGGAUGAUCAGCCACACUGGAACUGAGACACGGUCCAGACUCCUACGGGAGGCAGCAGUGGGGAAUAUUGCGCAAUGGGCGAAAGCCUGACGCAGCCACGCCGCGUGAGUGAUGAAGGCC